RNAcentral lists this non-coding RNA (26 nucleotides) under Cricetulus griseus (Chinese hamster). The record is from RNAcentral. Lineage: Eukaryota; Metazoa; Chordata; Mammalia; Rodentia; Cricetidae.
GAAACUGGGUCAAGAAUUUUAGAAUC